Long non-coding RNA from Lycium barbarum (goji berry), 798 nucleotides. RefSeq lists it as uncharacterized. The transcript has 4 exons. The record is from RefSeq and is a predicted model, not a curated record. Lineage: Eukaryota; Viridiplantae; Streptophyta; Magnoliopsida; Solanales; Solanaceae.
AAGCUUGGUAUUAUAUAUGCCAUAUAAAAUAAUUAUAAUAUGGCCCCAGCAAAGUCAAAUGUGAGAUUGAAUUGAGUAGAUAUUUAUUCAAGUAAGAGUGGGCUAAGAUGAGUAUUUAAUAUAGUGGUACAGUAAGGUGUUGGAUUCCAAGAGCUCCUUUCUCUCUGAUUGUUGUUGUCCCCUGUGUCAAUUGCCUUCCAAGCUAAGAGCUGCAUUACCAACUCUUGACCCAAUAUCUUGGCUACCUAUAGCAUAUAAAAUGGAAUACACAAAAGCCAUCAACCGAAAGUUCACCCAAGAUUAUUUAUUCCACCAAGUUCUUGGAUGCCAUUUUGGUAAAGUGUCGGGUCAAGCUCUUUACUUGAGCACUUCAAGAUUUCAAGAAACCCCUUCAAGAGCACCAAAAUCCUAAAAGAGGGAUUUUCAAGAUUUAAAUGUUUUGAGAUUGAAAUCGUUUGGGUCGUUCUUUGACAUUUGGAGCUAACGAUUGCUAAUGUCAAAAAUACAUUGAGGUCUAGCAGGCGGUCAGGUGCAAGGUGGUCAGAGUACGGGCUAGGAUUUCCUGUGCCUUCAUACUUUUGGUGAGCCCACAUUUGAGAUCGUGGGAUUCACACUAUCAUAUUUUCAUUUUUGUAUGGCGCGAGCUAGUUUCGCAACAUUAUUAUUUCAUUCAUACUUUCAUAGAGGCUCCGUAGAUGUACUUGUACUACUUUUGGGUUAUGGGUGUCUGUUUAGAUUUGCAGAUAACAUCUUCAUUUUAUGAUUUGGUUAAUGAGCAUGUUGAUUUAAUAUUAUUCA